RNAcentral lists this ribosomal RNA (468 nucleotides) under Sarcocystis gallotiae. RNAcentral describes it as "LSU rRNA". It matches the Rfam family "Eukaryotic large subunit ribosomal RNA", at positions 386 to 814 of the family's 3401-position model. The record is from RNAcentral. Lineage: Eukaryota; Apicomplexa; Conoidasida; Eucoccidiorida; Sarcocystidae.
AAAUGUAAAGCUAUUGCGCCACUGAGACCCAUAUGUAUAUAUAUAAUAUAUAAAUACAGUGUGGGAAUGGAAUAAGUGUAGUAGUAGUGGAUCAUCUCGGAGAGGUCAGCAUCAGUUACAAGAAAAAGAUUAGGGGUGCAAAAGGUAGGUCCUUUGUGGACUGCUUUAUAGAUGCACUACUAUUAUUCUGCUUUUUCUUGUGACUGAAGUGUGCUCUUGAAAUUAGGGAAUUUGAGCCAUACUCUUUUGAGUACUCGAAUUCUGUGAUGCUGGCUGAAAUGGUUUCAACCGACCCGUCUUGAAACACGGACCAAGGAGUCUAACAUAUGUGCAAGUAUGCGGGUGACAAUCCUGUAUGCGAAAUGAAAGUGAGAGUAGGGAAAAGUUCAUUAUUUUGAUGUUCUUUGCACCAUACGACCGACCACGAUCAUUUAGAGAGAGGUUUGAGUUGGAGCAUAUCUGUUAGGA